UAGGGAAUCUUCGGCAAUGGGGGGAACCCUGACCGAGCAACGCCGCGUGAGUGAAGAAGGUUUUCGGAUCGUAAAGCUCUGUUGUUAAGGAAGAACGAGUGUGAGAAUGGAAAGUUCAUACUGUGACGGUACUUAACCAGAAAGGGACGGCUAACUACGUGCCAGCAGCCGCGGUAAUACGUAGGUCCCGAGCGUUGUCCGGAUGUAUUGGGCGUAAAGCGAGCGCAGGCGGUUAGAAAAGUCUGAAGUGAAAGGCAGUGGCUCAACCAUUGUAGGCUUUGGAAACUGUUUAACUUGAGUGCAGAAGGGGAGAGUGGAAUUCCAUGUGUAGCGGUGAAAUGCGUAGAUAUAUGGAGGAACACCGGUGGCGAAAGCGGCUCUCUGGUCUGUAACUGACGCUGAGGCUCGAAAGCGUGGGGAGCGAACAGG
This 429-nucleotide ribosomal RNA is filed under the name Bacteroidota bacterium. Its description in RNAcentral is "Bacteroidetes bacterium partial 16S ribosomal RNA". It matches the Rfam family "Bacterial small subunit ribosomal RNA", at positions 355 to 776 of the family's 1533-position model. Lineage: Bacteria; Pseudomonadati; Bacteroidota. The record is from RNAcentral.